GUCGUGGUGGAGCAGGAGGGGCAUUUCACUUCUGGAGACCAGGGAGCCUCAGCGUCAGAACAGGAGGGCAGAGUACACUCUGCGACCAGGAAGUAAACCACCUUCCUCCUGGCCCAGCGAACGCAUGCAAGGCAAGCAGCGGUCCCUCCCGUGGCUCGUUCCUAGGAAAUCAGAGGCAGACAGGAACACGAGUCUUCCAAAUGUCUUAUCAGGGAGCAUCAAAACGUCUCUCUUGCAGAUGUGGAUGGGUCUGAGCUCUUCACCACUACACCCAGCCAGCUUCUUCAACUGAGAAAAACAAAUGCAUCUGAUAAAGGGAGUCAAAGACAUCACCCUUCUUCCUCCAAGGGCUGAAGAAAGCAGCCCUUAUUGACUGGCUUCUAUCACUCAUCUGAUUAAAGGUGGGAUGACUGGCAUGAAUGCCAAUUUGAGCUUCAAGAUGGACACUCUGGGAUGCUUCUGUCCAUACCAUUUUUCGAGGGAGGGGAGCUGCUUUUCCUGAUUGAAAGAUGUGGCCGUUGGCAGAGACAGGACAACACUUCAGAUGCCUGGUAGCAGCCAGUACAGACAAAAGCUUCAUGGAGUUGCCUCUCUCUCUCCAGUUGUCUUCCUAGUUCCAUAAAACUAGAUUCCCAAAUGCCAUGUAAAGAAGUUUUCAAGUACUUAUCAGCGUGGAUCUUCCAGAUUGUUCAGUCAAGAAUGAGCCCAGGGAACUUCCCUGGUGGUCCAGUGGGUAAGACUCGGCACUCCCAAUGCAGGGGGCCCGGGCUUGAUCCCUGGUCGGGGAACUAGAUCCCGCAUGCAUGCUGCAACUAAGAAGCCUGCGUGCCGCAACUACGAGAAGUCUGCAUGCCACAACUAAGAAGUCUGCGUGCUGCUACUAAAGAUCCCGCAUGCCGCCACAAAGAUCCAGU
Molecule: long non-coding RNA, 914 nt
Organism: Balaenoptera acutorostrata (minke whale)
Lineage: Eukaryota; Metazoa; Chordata; Mammalia; Artiodactyla; Balaenopteridae
Exons: 5
Source: RefSeq, a predicted model, not a curated record